Molecule: long non-coding RNA, 241 nt
Filed under: Gossypium barbadense (sea-island cotton)
Lineage: Eukaryota; Viridiplantae; Streptophyta; Magnoliopsida; Malvales; Malvaceae
Description: long non-coding RNA (GBAR_LNC023045)
Source: RNAcentral
GGAAUUGGAUUAUUCUCUCUUUUCCUAUUUCCAUUGGAAUUGAAUUAUUUUCUUUUCUCUUUCAAUUACGUGGAAAUUUUGUCCAUUUCAUCUCAAUUUCUUUAUUUUUUCUAAAUUCGUCCAAUUGUUUUUAGGCCUUCCGUUUUUUUAUUGUUUUGCACUUAAGUUUUCAUUUUUUUGUCCUAAAAUUUGUUUUGACUGCAUUUUGGUCCUACUUGAAGCUGUGCGUUUUGGAGGGUAG